Dicentrarchus labrax (European seabass) is the source of this 2075-nucleotide long non-coding RNA. Lineage: Eukaryota; Metazoa; Chordata; Actinopteri; Moronidae. The record is from Ensembl.
GGUGGCCAGCUCCACACUGAGCUCAUUCAGCUGCUGCCGAGGUCCACUCCCAGAGAGACCAGGGCCCAUAAGACCAGAUCUGUUCCCCCUGAAGCCGGUAUUAUGGCAGCUCUGACAACAACAGGGCCUAUGUAAACAGCCCAGAGCCGUGCCUUUCCAUCACAUCUCAACACUGCCAACAUUCAGCCAGGAGACUCGGAAAACUGUGAGACAUGAUGGGAGGAGCUGAAGGCCAAAGGUGUGGCCGUGACAGGGCUUUGAUCCUCACCUCAUCAUCUCUUUUUUUACUUCACUACAUGAGGCACAUCUCUCAUAUGACCAAUCCGGUUAAGCUCCAGGUUGUGAGUUUAAAAGUCCCAGUGAGCAGCAGCAGCAGCAGCAGCAGAGAGCUCAGGAUGCUCGGCUGAGUGCAGAGGAAAGAGACUGGGACCAGGUCAGGCUUCAAACCUCAGAGGGAAACACCAACGUCAAGCUGCUCACACUGAAGUGUGAGGUGCUCUCAUUACUGUUUUCAAAAUAAAAGCAGACUGCAGCUUCAGAUGUUUCUCUGCGGCUCUGCAGGUGGUUGAGUUAAUCACAGUGUGCGGGUAAAAUAUUUUGUUCACACUCACGAUGUGAGUAGAUGUGAGUAUACCUUUUGUUAGAAGUGUACAGCUCAUUGGGAAGCUUGCAUGCAAAUGUUGUUUUGAUGUACAAUCAAGCAUUCAACUGCAUUUUACUCACAUAAGAAGAAUUAAUUCACUCUAAAUGUGAAAGAUCAUUUUGACAUUUUUUAUCUUGAACUACUGACAUGAGUGAGUUUGUGUCAGGAAGUACUUUUAGGACACCAAGUAAGAGAAACCUAUAGCUUAUAACACAAUUUGUAAACACUCCCACAUAUUUUAGGAAUCAUUAUUAGAUUAAAAUCUAGAUGCCACAGAUCUGCCGAAUCAGUGAAGAAUCUCAUUCACCUGUUUAAUCAAGUUUUGGUUUAAUUUAUUUUGGUUGAUUGUAAUUUACUUUCUGUCAAUCAAGUAGUGUGUCAAGUUAUUUCGGUCAAGAUCAACCCUAACCGUAAACCCAAAAUAAUUAGAGGUACUGUAUUAAACUAAGAAUAUGAAUUUUCUGUUCAUUUGUAGUUCUGGUAUUAGUACUAGUCGUAGCAGCAGUAGUAGUAUAAGAAUCAGUCUUGUUGUUUCCACUUGUUUGUAUGGUCUGUCGUUUUUUUGUACAUUCAAAACAAGUUAUGCUUUUAUUUUGAAGGAAACGUAACUGGGGCUUUUUUGCAUUUUGAGGGAGGUAAGAGGGGUUGAGGUAGGAGAUGCCAUUCCACCCACUGGGUAUAGAAAUGAGGUAAUGAUCCCCUUUAGUGGGGAUAGUAGUAUAAUCAGACUUUAAAUCAGAGCCCCCACAAAAUGCUUAUAAAAGGGCCUUGACUCAGUACUGAGUUUGUAAUAAAUGAAUUGCUCUGUGUAGUAUUUUUAUCCAUCAUCAACUCUGAAGUGAUCCCCAUUUGUUUCUACACACAACAUAAUCUUGAACAGAACUGCAACAGAUUUCACACGAUCCUCGGCUCUGUUGUCCUGCCGUCACCUUCGGGCUCUUUAAUGGGCUCCGAAAACAUUGGAGAGUAUCACGCCUCGCCCCUUUAACUUCUCCCCACUCGCUUGCUUUUGCUCCUGAAAAGGAAAAAAAAAAAGGGGGUGAGACAAAGCUGUUCUUUCAGUCAGGUACCACUGAGAGCUCAUUGGGCAGAAAAUGUGUAAUCACAGAGUAUUCACACGCCUAAAAAUGUUGUUGCUACGGAUACAAAUGAACCCCACUUAACUUAUAAUGGGGGUUGAAGUUUAAGUGGCACAUAAUGACAGAAAUGCUCCAACAGCAGCACAUAUUAAGUUUUUUAUGCUGUGAAGUUGCACAAUUUCUUUCCUCCUCAACCUUUUGUACUGUUUUUAGUGAAAUAUAAAUCACCAGGGAGGUUUCAGUCUGAUGAUUUUAAUGCUUAAAGCCUACUGUACUGGAGUUAGGCGAGCAAGGUCAGCAUCAGUCCCUGGGCCUAUAAUGGUGGAGGCUUGUUAGGGUAGCAUAGGGCAGGG